AGAGUUUGAUCCUGGCUCAGAUUGAACGCUGGCGGCAUGCCUUACACAUGCAAGUCGAACGGCAGCACGGGGGCAACCCUGGUGGCGAGUGGCGAACGGGUGAGUAAUACAUCGGAACGUGCCCAGUAGUGGGGGAUAGCUCGGCGAAAGCCGGAUUAAUACCGCAUACGACCUACGGGUGAAAGCGGGGGACCGCAAGGCCUCGCGCUAUUGGAGCGGCCGAUGUCAGAUUAGGUUGUUGGUGGGGUAAAAGCCUACCAAGCCGACGAUCUGUAGCUGGUCUGAGAGGACGACCAGCCACACUGGGACUGAGACACGGCCCAGACUCCUACGGGAGGCAGCAGUGGGGAAUUUUGGACAAUGGGCGCAAGCCUGAUCCAGCCAUGCCGCGUGCGGGAAGAAGGCCUUCGGGUUGUAAACCGCUUUUGUCAGGGAAGAAAUCUUCCGAGCCAAUACCUCGGGAGGAUGACGGUACCUGAAGAAUAAGCACCGGCUAACUACGUGCCAGCCGCCGCGGUAAUAC
Molecule: ribosomal RNA, 523 nt
Filed under: uncultured bacterium
Lineage: Bacteria
Description: bacterial SSU rRNA
Rfam family: Bacterial small subunit ribosomal RNA
Source: RNAcentral